AGGACGAACGCUGGCGGUGUGCUUCACACAUGCAAGUCGAACGAGGUAGCAAUACCUAGUGGCGGACGGGUGAGUAACGCGUGGGAAUCUGCCUUUGAAUGGGGGAUAACGGGCCGAAAGGUCCGCUAAUACCGCAUAGGCCGCAAGGUUAAAGGAGUAAUCCGUUCAAAGAUGAGCCCGCGUCCGAUUAGCUAGUUGGUAGGGUAAAAGCCUACCAAGGCGACGAUCGGUAGCUGGUCUGAGAGGAUGAUCAGCCACAAUGGGACUGAGACACGGCCCAUACUCCUACGGGAGGCAGCAGUGGGGAAUUUUACGCAAUGGGCGAAAGCCUGACGUAGCGACACCGCGUGAGCGAAGAAGCCCUUUGGGGUGUAAAGCUCUGUCAGCUGGAACGAAAAAAUGACGGUACCAGCAGAGGAAGCAUCGGCUAACUACGUGCCAGCAGCCGCA
Molecule: ribosomal RNA, 450 nt
Filed under: uncultured bacterium
Lineage: Bacteria
Description: SSU rRNA
Rfam family: Bacterial small subunit ribosomal RNA
Source: RNAcentral